RNAcentral lists this ribosomal RNA (404 nucleotides) under bacterium. RNAcentral describes it as "partial 16S ribosomal RNA". It matches the Rfam family "Bacterial small subunit ribosomal RNA", at positions 355 to 777 of the family's 1533-position model. The record is from RNAcentral.
UGGGGAAUAUUGCAAAAUGGAGGGAACUCUGAUGCAGCGACGCCGCGUGAACGAAGAAGGCUUUCGAGUCGUAAAGUUCUUUUAUAUGGGAAGAUAAUGACGGUACCAUAAGAAAAAGCCCCGGCUAACUACGUGCCAGCAGCCGCGGUAAUACGUAGGGGGCUAGCGUUGUCCGGAAUCACUGGGCGUAAAGGGUUCGCAGGCGGAAAUGCAAGUCAGGUGUAAAAGGCAGUAGCUUAACUACUGUAAGCAUUUGAAACUGCAUAUCUUGAGAAGAGAAGAGGUAAGUGGAAUUUUUAGUGUAGCGGUGAAAUGCGUAGAUAUUAAAAAGAAUACCGGUGGCGAAGGCGACUUACUGGGCUCAUUCUGACGCUGAGGAACGAAAGCGUGGGUAGCAAACAGGA